RNAcentral lists this ribosomal RNA (767 nucleotides) under Paenarthrobacter sp. BAB-5377. RNAcentral describes it as "bacterial SSU rRNA". It matches the Rfam family "Bacterial small subunit ribosomal RNA", at positions 723 to 1487 of the family's 1533-position model. The record is from RNAcentral. Lineage: Bacteria; Bacillati; Actinomycetota; Actinomycetes; Micrococcales; Micrococcaceae.
AGGUCUCUGGGCUGUAACUGACGCUGAGGAGCGAAAGCAUGGGGAGCGAACAGGAUUAGAUACCCUGGUAGUCCAUGCCGUAAACGUUGGGCACUAGGUGUGGGGGACAUUCCACGUUUUCCGCGCCGUAGCUAACGCAUUAAGUGCCCCGCCUGGGGAGUACGGCCGCAAGGCUAAAACUCAAAGGAAUUGACGGGGGCCCGCACAAGCGGCGGAGCAUGCGGAUUAAUUCGAUGCAACGCGAAGAACCUUACCAAGGCUUGACAUGAACCGGUAAUACCUGGAAACAGGUGCCCCGCUUGCGGUCGGUUUACAGGUGGUGCAUGGUUGUCGUCAGCUCGUGUCGUGAGAUGUUGGGUUAAGUCCCGCAACGAGCGCAACCCUCGUUCUAUGUUGCCAGCGGUUCGGCCGGGGACUCAUAGGAGACUGCCGGGGUCAACUCGGAGGAAGGUGGGGACGACGUCAAAUCAUCAUGCCCCUUAUGUCUUGGGCUUCACGCAUGCUACAAUGGCCGGUACAAAGGGUUGCGAUACUGUGAGGUGGAGCUAAUCCCAAAAAGCCGGUCUCAGUUCGGAUUGGGGUCUGCAACUCGACCCCAUGAAGUCGGAGUCGCUAGUAAUCGCAGAUCAGCAACGCUGCGGUGAAUACGUUCCCGGGCCUUGUACACACCGCCCGUCAAGUCACGAAAGUUGGUAACACCCGAAGCCGGUGGCCUAACCCUUGUGGGGGGAGCCGUCGAAGGUGGGACCGGCGAUUGGGACUAAGUC